GAGUGUUUGUGAGUGUGUGUGUGAUAGAGUAUAAAAGAGGCAGAGAGUUUUUCAAAUUAAUGAGAACUGUGAAAGAAAGAGAGGGACCAGUAAUGGAAGUAAACCAAAAACAAAACUAAAAAUAAUAAUAGCAAUAUUUUUUUUUAUUAUUCUUUAUGAAGAAAAUGUGAAUUGUGCUUGACUUCCCAAGGCGAAUAGAAGAUUUGUUUAAAGGAACCUUGCAGACUUCACUGAAGUGUCAUUCUCCCUCAGAAGUGCUCACUGCAACCAAACCUGAACCCAGGCCUGAGGGGGUCCUAAGAACAUGUGUUCCAGCACAGCUGAAGGAAAACCACCCGCUUAGAUGCAAGGU
This is a long non-coding RNA of Carassius carassius (crucian carp), 352 nucleotides long. RefSeq lists it as uncharacterized. The transcript is spliced from 3 exons. Lineage: Eukaryota; Metazoa; Chordata; Actinopteri; Cypriniformes; Cyprinidae. The record is from RefSeq and is a predicted model, not a curated record.